Molecule: transfer RNA, 73 nt
Filed under: Felis catus (domestic cat)
Lineage: Eukaryota; Metazoa; Chordata; Mammalia; Carnivora; Felidae
Also listed under: 2 other names
Rfam family: tRNA
About the family: Transfer RNA (tRNA) molecules are approximately 80 nucleotides in length. Their secondary structure includes four short double-helical elements and three loops (D, anti-codon, and T loops).
Source: Rfam by way of RNAcentral
ACCUGGCUGGCUCAGUCGGUAGAGCAUGCAACUCUUAAUCUCAGAGUCGUGAGUUCAAGCCCCACAUCAGGCA